RNAcentral lists this long non-coding RNA (2309 nucleotides) under Lynx pardinus (Iberian lynx). Lineage: Eukaryota; Metazoa; Chordata; Mammalia; Carnivora; Felidae. The record is from RNAcentral.
CUGAGUUGCUUAUCCAAGGUCAUACAGCAGCAAUAUAGAGCCACAAGCUGAAACCAGGUAAUCUGACUCAAGAACCGUGCACUCAUUCAUUAUAUCGUCCUGUAGUUCUACACAAUGUAUAAAAUGCAAAGGUACUUUCUUAGAAAUAAGACCAUAUGACCAUCUCAAUUUAAUGUUAAAUCUUAUCUUCCUAUUCCCCUCUGCCCAUCCAGAAAAAUACUAACAAUUGUUGGGGAAGCACCCAGUUACUAAAAGGGGAAACAGGAAUUCACGAUUCAGUGCCCUACGUCAGCAGUUCUCCAUCCAUCAAAUGUAACAUUCCCUUUGUUCAUUUGUUUUUUUUUUUUUAUUGGUAUUGUGUAGACCUAGUCUUACUAGAGGAGGGCAAAAGACAUGGGCUGGAGUUCCAGCUCUGCCUUAACGAGCAAUGGAAAUUUGGGCGAGUGGUUUGACUUUUUAAAAUCUCAUUUCCACAUUUUGAAAAUGGGAAGAAUAAGGGGCACCUGGCUGGCUCAGCCAGAGGAGCACGCAACUCUUGAUCUCGGGGUAGUGAGCUCAAGCCUCACGUUGGUUGUAGAGCCUACUUUGAAAAAAAUGGGAAUAAUAAGAUCACCCAACCUAUCUUUUUUCACUUCUCAGAGUAGUGGGUCAGCACUCUACAUAGGUGAACCUUCCUUAUAAGUUGCUUUCUUUCCUCCACCCUCACCCCCAUCUCCGUGUCUUUUUUUCCUUCUUUUCUUAUUUCAUGGAAAAAUUAAAAAUAAAAAAAUAAUUAUUUCAUGGACCAUUACAGCCAAAAGAUACUUGAUUUUCAAGCAAUUUCCCCUGAAUGACCCUUAAUGUAUGGAAGGAGUUAUGUCUCUCUGACUGAAUGGGUCACCUCUCCUGGGCUCCAAAGCCCAGAGUUGAGUUGAGCAGCAACAGAGGCAUUCUAUGGAAAUGUUUCUCUUCCUCAGACAGGACAAAGGCAUCUUUAGCAGACAGACCCCAUGUGUCCAGAGCCAGGUACACUUGCCAAUUCCAACAGAAAGCCGUCCUACUUUCUGGGAAAACAACGGCUGAAGAACAACUAACUUCACAUUCAAAGAAGAUGCCGAGCUAAUUGAAUUUCUUGCAGGUAAGAGUCAAGGUUGCAUUAGGCAUUUUAAUACAUUUAACUUCAUAAACAAGGACACAGGAAUCACAGAAAGUUAACUCACUCGUGGUAAGACAUAUAUUAAUUGGCAAAUUGCCUCUGGCUUUGGCACCAUCUCACUGUGGAGAUUAAUAUGGUGGCCAUGAAGAUGCACCUUACAGCCCUCCAAAUACAGGAAGAAUAACGUCCAAGGGCCUGAAUGCUGUACCCUGAAAUCUGUAGCCUGCUUUGCUUGCAUUCAGGCCAUACCUCCUGUGAGCUGCUCCAGCCAAGACUGAGUGUGGCUAGAAUACAUAUGGUAAAACCAUUCCUAGAAACUGCGGGACUCAGCUGACCACUGACCCUGGCUGACUCAAGGACUCCCCAAUGGCCUCGAAUCUUCCCUGGAUGGCACAGGAGUCUAGGCCACUUCACCCAACUUUCUCUUGUUCUUCUUUUCAUUCAGUCAGACUUGUUUCCUGGUCAAAAGUUUCUUCCAUCUUUUUUCUGGGCCCCUCCCCAUUUCACUCACAGUCAUUUCCCCUAGUAAUAUCUUUGCACAUUUAAUCCCAGCUUGACUUCUGCUCUUCAGAGGACCCAGAUUAACACAUUUAACAGAUCAUUUAAACUUCUUAGUUUCAAUUUUUGUAUUUUGCAAAUUGGGAGUUGGGGGACAGAGAAGAGCUAAAAGGAGAAAGACUUAUUCAGUGUCUACCAUGUGCUUUAUGUUAUUUUACAGGUAGUACUGCUAUUUUACGGAAAAGGAAGGGGAAGAUGAGAGAAAUGAUAUCACUAGUUUAAGAUUACUGCAGCGUCUAGAUUUGUACUGAAGCCUAUUCUGACUUCAAGGUGUAUCUUCUCUACCACUUUCUCUCCUUUUCUAACUGCUUAAUUGUGAAGAUCAAAAAAGAUAACAGAUGUGAAAGCACUUUGAAAAUGUGUUACUUCAAAGCCAGAGAUGAUUAUUUCUGUUGGUUGCGGUCAAGACCACUAUGUCAUAUGCAAGCCUGGUGCAAAGUACAAAUGUGGGGCUCCUUGUUCAAAAUUUAUUGAGACUUUGAAGAUGGCACAGCAGAGCAUUACACCAGGUAUGGGACCCAUGAACCCAGCCAUGGGAACAGCAGAAUUAUUGAGACAGGGGCAAUCAAAUUGAGCUUGUAGGAAACUUUCUAGAAGAAUAGAAAAAACAUUCUGG